This is a non-coding RNA of Chrysemys picta bellii (western painted turtle), 6173 nucleotides long. The record is from RefSeq and is a predicted model, not a curated record. NCBI's taxonomy places the organism in Eukaryota, Metazoa, Chordata, Testudines, Emydidae.
GUCUUGGUGGAUUAGUUGUUGGAAAUGAAUCCUGGGUAACAACAAGGCUUAAGGAGGCUGCUGUCUCUUUAAAUGGAACGAGCUUGCAAGAUGCACCGAAACAGGAAGCGUUUGUUAAAAGCAAACAAUGAAGGAUCGGAGAAGUGGGAGAGCAUUCAAUAUAGCAACAAACAGGACAGUGUAGCUUCUCCUUUUGGUACUUUCUUCAGCUUUUACUGUAUGACACAACUUUUACUUAGAAGGUUUAUCGUGGUGAAGUCCCCUUUCCUAAGAACAAACCAUCAGAAAAAAAGAGGGGAAACCAAAAAAGGGGGAACUUUCUAUACUAAAGCAGACAUUGCUGGAAUCUGAUAGAACAAUGAGAGAUUCCCAUCCCAGUUGGGCCUGCUUGUCUUACAGCCUGUUGACCUUUUCCUUGCUUUGUGUAACAGCUGAGAACCAAUGUAAGAUCAGAAAUCAAGUGGCUGACUGCAGUCAUCUAAAGCUGAAACAAAUUCCUUCAGAUCUCCCAAUUAAUAUAACAGCGUUGGACAUUUCUCAUAACCAGCUAAACAAGCUACCACCUGCAAAUUUAACAAAGUACAGCCAGCUUAUUUACUUGGAUGCAGGAUCCAACUCCCUCUCUAAACUUCAGCCAGAACUGUGCCAAACUUUGCCCCUGUUGAAAGUUUUGAAGCUGCAACAUAAUCAGUUGCAUGAGCUCACUGACAAUGUUUUUGCUUCCUGUUCCAGCCUGACAGAGCUCAAUUUAGGGUACAACAUAAUAAAGAUCAAAAACAAUCCUUUCAAAAACCUGAAGAAUUUGAACAAACUGGAUGUAUCUCAUAAUCGUUUGCUUUCUACAAAAUUAGGAUCUCAGCAACAGUUGGAGAGCCUUCGUGAGCUCGUGCUAUCAGAGAAUAAAAUCACUGAGUUAAAAAAGGAAGAACUAGAUUUUCUUAGCAAGACUUCCUUAAAUAGGCUUGACUUAUCAUCAAACCCACUGAAAGAGUUUCACACAGGUUGUUUACAUGCAAUUGGAAAUCUGUAUGGCCUUGUGCUGAACAACGUUGAGCUUGGCGAAAAUCACACAGAGAAACUUUGCUUGGAAUUAUCAGGCACAAGAAUUCAGAAUCUGUCACUGAGCCAGGUCCAGCUUUCUUAUAUUUACAAGUCAACCUUCCAUGGACUGCAAACAACAAACAUCACAGCUUUAAACCUUUCCAAAAAUUAUUUGAACAUGAUAGACAAUGACUCUUUUACCUGGCUUUCAAACUUAGAGAAUUUAAACCUAGAGGAUAAUAGGAUUUAUCACUUAUCUUCUCAUUCAUUGUAUGGAUUGUCCAAUGUCAAAUAUUUGAAUCUGAGACGGUCACAUGUCAGAAAAAUUGAUGAUUUCUCCUUUCGUUGGCUAAGCCAUUUAGAGUAUCUUCUUAUAGAUAGUAAUAAUUUUCAAGCAAUUACUCCUAAUAUGUUCACAGGCUUGGACAAUCUGAAAUAUUUGAGUCUAUGUAACUGGACCAAUGGCUUACAAAUAAUAACUAAUAAAACGUUUUCAUCACUUGCUAAUUCUACUCUGCAGUUUCUUAAUCUUACAAAAAGUAGAAUCACAAAAAUAGAAAGUGGAGCAUUUUCUUGGUUGGGACACCUAAAAAUUCUUGAUUUGGGACUCAAUGAAAUAAACCAGAUGCUCACAGGUCAUGAGUUUAAAGGUCUGCAAAAUAUUGAGGAUAUCUACCUUUCCUACAACAAACAGUUGACUUUGACAAGCGAAUCGUUUGCUUUUGUUCCAAGCCUUAGAAAACUGAUGCUACGGAAGGUAGCUUGUAGCAAUCUGGACCUCUCUCCUUCACCUUUUCACCCUCUACGGAAUCUAACCAUCCUGGAUAUCAGCAACAACAAUCUAGCUAAUGUAAAAGAUGAUUUGUUUGAUGGACUUCACAAACUUGAAAUUCUGGAUUUGCAACAUAAUAAUUUGGCUCGACUUUGGAAACAUGCCAAUCCGGGUGGCCCUGUCCUUUUUUUAAAAGAUCUUCUUAACCUGCAUAUACUUAAUUUGAAGUCUAAUGGCUUGGAUGAGAUUCCAGUACAAGUUUUCAAGGGAUUGUUUCAAUUAAGAAGCCUGGAUUUAGGAUCAAAUAAUUUGAACUUGCUUCCAGCAUCUUUGUUUGAUGACCAGAUAUCUCUGAAUUCAUUGAUCCUUCAGAAAAAUCUUAUAACAUCUGUUGAAGAAAAAGUGUUUGGGACAGCUUUCAAGAAUCUGAAAGAACUAGAGAUGGAUUCCAAUCCAUUUGACUGCACCUGUGAAAGUAUCUCCUGGUUUGUUAGUUGGCUUAAUGUGACCCAAACAAACAUACCUGGAUUAGAUACCCAUUACCUUUGCAACACACCACCUAAAUAUCAUAGUAAUCUGGUGAUGCAUUUUGACAUUUCACCCUGCAAAGAUAGUGCCCCUUUUAAAUUACUGUAUAUAAUAAGCACCACUGUGAUAAUGCUGCUCCUCUUUAUUGUUAUUCUUAUCCAUUUUGAAGGCUGGAGGAUAGCAUUUUACUGGAAUGUGUCAGUAAAUCGAGUACUUGGUUUUACAGAAAUAGACAGGCAACAGGAAGAAUUUGAUUAUGAUGCCUACAUUAUUCAUGCAAGAAGGGACAGAAAUUGGGUGUCCAAGAACUUCAUUCCUCUGGAAGAAAAUGAUCAGUCUCAAAUUAGGUUUUGUUUAGAGGAACGAGACUUUGAAGCAGGCAUAUCUGAAUUUGAAGCCACUAUUAAUAGUAUAAAAAAAAGUCGGAAGAUUAUCUUUGUUGUCACUGAACAUCUCUUAAAAGAUCCCUGGUGCAAAAAGUUCAAGGUGUACCAUGCUGUCCAGCAAGCUAUUGAGCAAAGUCGGGAUUCCAUCAUACUGAUCUUCCUUCAUGACAUUCCAGAUUACAAACUGAAUCAUGCACUUUGCUUGAGAAGAGGAAUGUUCAAAUCUCGCUGCAUCUUGGAUUGGCCAGCUCAGAAAGAACGGGUCAGUGCAUUUCAUCAGCAAUUAAAAAUGGCACUUAAAUCUAGCAGCAACAUGCAUUGAAUUUCUAAAGUAUAAGAUUGAACUGAUAGGACACUUCAUUUCAGACUGACUAAAGGAUAAGAGUCCUUAUGGGGAAAAAUUAAACCAAUCCACAGCAACUCUUCUAUUUUUCCUAUUAUGUGUUUUUAAUUGGUAAUUGUUCUUAUCCUUCGUAUAUUGUUUCACCUGUAUUUUGAGUUCAUAAAAUGGCCAUGAUGGACACAAAAAAUAGGACCGACAACUCUUUCAAUCUGUGAUCAUAAAGAAUCAGCUUAUUUAAAAUAGAGCAGAAAUAGAGUGAAGAAAGGGGUGGUGAGAAUGAGUAGCGGCAUGGUAAAUUUCCAUAUGAAGGGGUGCUGAAAAGACUGGGACUGUUUACUUUAAAGAGGAAAUGAAUAAGAGGGAGGAAAUGUGAUACAGAUAUACAAAGUAAUGAAUGCUAGAGAGGGAGUAUGCGCCUGGACAUGUAGACCUCAUUUGUUAAUUCCUUCAGUGUUGGAGAGGGCUGCCUGCAGGCCCUCUGGAUUAAGAUGAAUUUCAAGCAAUGUGAGAGGAUCCAGAACUUCUCUCCUGCUUCCUAAUUCUAAUAGUCUUCUAUCUAGAUGCCUCCCCUCUAAAAAAGCUUGAAUUUAGGGCAUCCCGAAAGGAAAUGUUUUAGUAUUCUAUAAAUUCAAGAACAGUAAAUUGAUAUUUCUAGUCCUUAAUUUUUUUUUCAAAUGAAAGAUGAAAUCUGAUAAAUAUUGCUUCCAUAGCAGAUAGUUAUUAUCCAAAAUGCAUUUUCUGGGUAUAAGGACCUUACCUUGCAAAAUUCUAAGCUGUGUAGUUUUUUCUUUUUAGUUCUACCUUUGGUUUUUCCACUUAAAAUGAGUUGGAGAAAGGUGUUUAAAUAAGAAUGGCAUACUGGUACCAUGUGUCUUGUAAACAGUACAAUUAAUGGUCAAAGGGAAAAUGAGAGCCUUAACUGUGACUUGACGAGAGCGCACUCACAGCUACCCGUAGGGCAGAAUUUGAUGGAGGAACCAGGCUGUUGCUCUGACAGUACUGAACAUUGACGCCCUAAUUCCCUACUCCCUUGUACCAGGCUACUAUUCUGAUUUGGUGAAGUCUCAGACUCAUUUGACACAGGUAUAAAUGACUAUACAAACUGCAAGGUAGUGAAGAAUCAGCCCCUAAAACUUUUAAACCCUUUUAGGGACAAAUCUUCCUUCUCCCAUAAUGGAAGGCCCCUCUAAGCAGAGAAAUUGGUAUGGUUCUGCUGCGUUGGGUGCCUAGACCAUGGAAGUCUAUGUAAGGGGUAUAUACCUUCUGUGGUGCUAGGAGUCCAGCUUCCCAGCCAUGUGGGGAUGAUUCUUUCUACCUUGGUCUCCAUGGAUUUUCAUGAUAUUCAGCCUGCUAGUUGUGAUGUGCACUGAAUGGGGCCUUCAUGUUUUUGUACAGACAUAAUCACAUACUAUUCAAAAUACAAUAUGUCUCUUUAAGAGGUUGUAGCUUUACCUAGAAAUCUAUUACUAAAACAUAGGAAAAUUCUUGUGGAUUAUAUCAAUGAAAGAAAACCACAGCAUCCCGAUUUGCAUGACAUUUUACAUGCACAUAAAUCUUAGUGUGAAUGACAGCAACAGUCAGCUCCCCUUCUCCUGCUGCCAGCUUGCAUCAAAUGGCAGCUAAAAAUACAUGCCUAUUUAAGUAUGCAAUUUCUUUGUAUGCCACAGGGAAACUAUGGGGCUAUUACUAGCAAAGGAGGUGGCUUGUAUGAUAGCCAAUGAUAGAAGAGGUGGUCCACAUCACAAUCUUUCUAUUGAAAUUUGAUGCAUGUUGAGGGGCGGGGAGGGGACCUUUGAGGAACCCUGAACUAAGAAACAGACUCUGGUUGAAAUGGGUAGACUUAUCUAGCAGGGUGCUGGUACAGAAGCACCUAAUUAGCCCCUGUCCAGUCAGCUCCAAUCAGGGGAAACAGAUUGGGGCUGAUGGAAAAGGCCUGAUGCUGGCCUGAGGAUUGGCGACACCUGCUGGCCUGACAAGCCAAAAGGCUGGGAGGGAGCUAGGGAGAAGUCAGUCAGUCAGGCUUCCUAGCUGAAGGCUGCCUCUGCCUGUAAAGGAGGUGACUAAUCCUGCAAGACUUGUAUAUAGAUACCCACUGGUGGUGGGAGAACCUUAUAUAAAUAAAGAUGUGCGUUUCACAACCCGGAAGCCUCUCGGAGCCUUAUUGGGGGCAGCAAGCGGGCCCCGGGAAGAAGGGUAGGACUUGAACCCUGUUACAACUUUACAUUGGAUUUUUAACUCUUUUUUUUUUUCCUUGUAGUUUUCAGAUAUCUAUUUUUCUUGGUAAGCUGUUGCAAACUGGAGCUUUGCAAAUCCUCAUGGUUUUACAAUGAACACUGAGAUGUAUUUAAUUCAGCCCUGAGUUAUAUAUACAGUUCACUUAGGUUUUCCUCCUUCAAUGAAAACUGUUCUAAUAUGCAUUAAAUUCUACAAGCAAGAUAAGAAAUAGCUGCUAUUUCCUGUGAGCAGCUGAAUAGCUACCUACCAGAAAUCAAUAUCUAGUUGGAGAAUGAAAAAAACCCUAUCGUACUAUUUUACCAAUAUUACUAUUAUUUCUUAGUGUCCCUAAAAAAAUCUAUAGGUACCCACGUCUGGCUCUGCGGCCCUCUCCCAUAAAUUAGAAAUAUACAAAUGAAAGCGUCUCAUAUUCAUCCACCAAAUCCUCAGCCCAUCCCCUCUUCAAUAACCUGAGAACGGAUGGGUUCUGCAGACUUCCCAAAUACAGGAUCUGGUGGACCAAAGGGAAAGUAGGUCCCAAAGUGGAGAUUAUCCUCAUUGUGAUGCUCUCAUCUCAUCUUUCUCAUCGUCUUUUCAGUCCAAGCGACAAAUUCUCUCUUCUUGUUUAAGCCAUGAAAGUUGAGGAGGCGAGGCUUUAAAGAUGAGGUGCCAGGUUUACACCAUGUCACUUACACUUUCCUCUAUUUAAAGAUUAACUUGUGGAGCAUUCCUUGUGUGUUCUCUAAAUCUUUACAGUAACGAAAAAUAAUAGCAAAAAUUAGACUUCUCAUCCCAAUUCAAUAUAACAUGCUGUCUAACAAAUGUUAGCUAUUAACAUGUGUAAUAAAGGUAUUAAUUGUGAAACAAAGACUAAAUAUUGUCUGUACUU